GGUUAAGCGACUAAGCGUACACGGUGGAUGCCCUGGCAGUCAGAGGCGAUGAAGGACGUGCUAAUCUGCGAUAAGCGUCGGUAAGGUGAUAUGAACCGUUAUAACCGGCGAUUUCCGAAUGGGGAAACCCAGUGUGAUUCGUCACACUAUCAUUACGUGAAUACAUAGCGUAAUGAAGCGAACCGGGGGAACUGAAACAUCUAAGUACCCCGAGGAAAAGAAAUCAACCGAGAUUCCCCCAGUAGCGGCGAGCGAACGGGGAGCAGCCCAGAGUCUGAAUCAGCUUGUGUGUUAGUGGAACGGUCUGGAAAGUCCGACGGUACAGGGUGAUAGUCCCGUACACCAAAAUGCACAGGUUGUGAACUCGAAGAGUAGGGCGGGACACGUGGUAUCCUGUCUGAAUAUGGGGGGACCAUCCUCCAAGGCUAAAUACUCCUGACUGACCGAUAGUGAACCAGUACCGUGAGGGAAAGGCGAAAAGAACCCCGGCGAGGGGAGUGAAAAAGAACCUGAAACCGUGUACGUACAAGCAGUGGGAGCCUCUUUAUGGGGUGACUGCGUACCUUUUGUAUAAUGGGUCAGCGACUUAUAUUCUGUAGCAAGGUUAACCGUAUAGGGGAGCCGAAGGGAAACCGAGUCUUAACUGGGCGUUAAGUUGCAGGGUAUAGACCCGAAACCCGGUGAUCUAGCCAUGGGCAGGUUGAAGGUUGGGUAACACUAACUGGAGGACCGAACCGACUAAUGUUGAAAAAUUAGCGGAUGACUUGUGGCUGGGGGUGAAAGGCCAAUCAAACCGGGAGAUAGCUGGUUCUCCCCGAAAGCUAUUUAGGUAGCGCCUCGUGAACUCAUCUUCGGGGGUAGAGCACUGUUUCGGCUAGGGGGUCAUCCCGACUUACCAACCCGAUGCAAACUGCGAAUACCGAAGAAUGUUAUCACGGGAGACACACGGCGGGUGCUAACGUCCGUCGUGAAGAGGGAAACAACCCAGACCGCCAGCUAAGGUCCCAAAGUCAUGGUUAAGUGGGAAACGAUGUGGGAAGGCACAGACAGCCAGGAUGUUGGCUUAGAAGCAGCCAUCAUUUAAAGAAAGCGUAAUAGCUCACUGGUCGAGUCGGCCUGCGCGGAAGAUGUAACGGGGCUAAACCAUGCACCGAAGCUGCGGCAGCGACACUAUGUGUUGUUGGGUAGGGGAGCGUUCUGUAAGCCGUUGAAGGUGGCCUGUGAGGGUUGCUGGAGGUAUCAGAAGUGCGAAUGCUGACAUAAGUAACGAUAAUGCGGGUGAAAAACCCGCACGCCGGAAGACCAAGGGUUCCUGUCCAACGUUAAUCGGGGCAGGGUGAGUCGACCCCUAAGGCGAGGCCGAAAGGCGUAGUCGAUGGGAAACAGGUUAAUAUUCCUGUACUUGGUGUUACUGCGAAGGGGGGACGGAGAAGGCUAUGUUAGCCGGGCGACGGUUGUCCCGGUUUAAGCAUGUAGGCGGAGGUUCCAGGUAAAUCCGGUACCUUUUUACGNNNNNNNNNNNNNNNNNNNNNNNNNNNNNNNNNNNNNNNNNNNNNNNNNNNNNNNNNNNNNNNNNNNNNNNNNNNNNNNNNNNNNNNNNNNGUACCUUUUAACGCUGAGGUGUGAUGACGAGGCACUACGGUGCUGAAGUAACAAAUGCCCUGCUUCCAGGAAAAGCCUCUAAGCAUCAGGUAACACGAAAUCGUACCCCAAACCGACACAGGUGGUCAGGUAGAGAAUACCAAGGCGCUUGAGAGAACUCGGGUGAAGGAACUAGGCAAAAUGGUGCCGUAACUUCGGGAGAAGGCACGCUGAUAUGUAGGUGAAGCGGUUUACCCGUGGAGCUGAAAUCAGUCGAAGAUACCAGCUGGCUGCAACUGUUUAUUAAAAACACAGCACUGUGCAAACACGAAAGUGGACGUAUACGGUGUGACGCCUGCCCGGUGCCGGAAGGUUAAUUGAUGGGGUUAUCCGUAAGGAGAAGCUCUUGAUCGAAGCCCCGGUAAACGGCGGCCGUAACUAUAACGGUCCUAAGGUAGCGAAAUUCCUUGUCGGGUAAGUUCCGACCUGCACGAAUGGCGUAAUGAUGGCCAGGCUGUCUCCACCCGAGACUCAGUGAAAUUGAACUCGCUGUGAAGAUGCAGUGUACCCGCGGCAAGACGGAAAGACCCCGUGAACCUUUACUAUAGCUUGACACUGAACACUGGUCCUUGAUGUGUAGGAUAGGUGGGAGGCUUUGAAGUGUGGACGCCAGUCUGCAUGGAGCCAUCCUUGAAAUACCACCCUUUAAUGGCUGGUGUUCUAACGUGGACCCGUUACCCGGGUUGCGGACAGUGUCUGGUGGGUAGUUUGACUGGGGCGGUCUCCUCCUAAAGAGUAACGGAGGAGCACGAAGGUUAGCUAAUCCUGGUCGGACAUCAGGAGGUUAGUGCAAAGGCAUAAGCUAGCUUGACUGCGAGAGUGACGGCUCGAGCAGGUGCGAAAGCAGGUCUUAGUGAUCCGGUGGUUCUGAAUGGAAGGGCCAUCGCUCAACGGAUAAAAGGUACUCCGGGGAUAACAGGCUGAUACCGCCCAAGAGUUCAUAUCGACGGCGGUGUUUGGCACCUCGAUGUCGGCUCAUCACAUCCUGGGGCUGAAGUAGGUCCCAAGGGUAUGGCUGUUCGCCAUUUAAAGUGGUACGCGAGCUGGGUUUAGAACGUCGUGAGACAGUUCGGUCCCUAUCUGCCGUGGGCGCUGGAGAAUUGAGGGGGGCUGCUCCUAGUACGAGAGGACCGGAGUGGACGCAUCACUGGUGUUCGGGUUGUCAUGCCAAUGGCAUUGCCCGGUAGCUAAAUGCGGAAGAGAUAAGUGCUGAAAGCAUCUAAGCACGAAACUUGCCCCGAGAUGAGUUCUCCCUGAGACU
This 2902-nucleotide ribosomal RNA is filed under the name Citrobacter freundii. RNAcentral describes it as "partial 23S ribosomal RNA". It matches the Rfam family "Bacterial large subunit ribosomal RNA". Lineage: Bacteria; Pseudomonadati; Pseudomonadota; Gammaproteobacteria; Enterobacterales; Enterobacteriaceae. The record is from RNAcentral.